GAUGAACGCUGGCGGCGUGCCUAAUACAUGCAAGUCGAGCGAACGGACGAGAGGCUGGCGUCUCUGAUGUGAGCGGCGGGCGGGUGAGUAACACGGGGAUAACCUACCUAUAAGACGGGUAUAACUGCGGGAAACCGGAUCUAAUACGGGAGAAUAUUUUGAAGCGCAUGGUUCAAGAGUGAAAGACGGUCUUGCUGUCACUUAUAGAUGGAUCCGCGCGGCAUUAGGUAGUUGGUAAGGUAACGGGUUACCAAGGGAACGAUGGAUAGCCGAGUGGAGAGGGUGAUAGCCCACAUUGGAACUGGGACACGGUCCAGACUACUAAGAGAGGGCGCAGUCGGGAAUCUUACGCAACGGGCGAAAGUAUGACGGAGCAACGGCGCGUGUGUGACGAAGGCCCUCGGAUCGUAAAAAUGUCUUACUAGGGAAGAACACCUGUCUACGUAAACGUACCCAUAUUGACGGUACCUAAUCAGAAAGCACCGGCUAACUACGUG
Molecule: ribosomal RNA, 497 nt
Filed under: uncultured bacterium
Lineage: Bacteria
Description: partial 16S ribosomal RNA
Rfam family: Bacterial small subunit ribosomal RNA
Source: RNAcentral